UGGGGAAUCUUCGGCAAUGGGGGCAACCCUGACCGAGCAACGCCGCGUGAGUGAAGAAGGUUUUCGGAUCGUAAAGCUCUGUUGUAAGAGAAGAACGUGUGUGAGAGUGGAAAGUUCACACAGUGACGGUAACUUACCAGAAAGGGACGGCUAACUACGUGCCAGCAGCCGCGGUAAUACGUAGGUCCCGAGCGUUGUCCGGAUUUAUUGGGCGUAAAGCGAGCGCAGGCGGUUUAAUAAGUCUGAAGUUAAAGGCAGUGGCUUAACCAUUGUUCGCUUUGGAAACUGUUAAACUUGAGUGCAGAAGGGGAGAGUGGAAUUCCAUGUGUAGCGGUGAAAUGCGUAGAUAUAUGGAGGAACACCGGUGGCGAAAGCGGCUCUCUGGUCUGUAACUGACGCUGAGGCUCGAAAGCGUGGGGAGCAAACAGG
RNAcentral lists this ribosomal RNA (429 nucleotides) under bacterium. RNAcentral describes it as "partial 16S ribosomal RNA". It matches the Rfam family "Bacterial small subunit ribosomal RNA", at positions 355 to 776 of the family's 1533-position model. The record is from RNAcentral.